UGGGGGCUAGCUACAGGCUUAACACAUGCAAGUCGAGCGGAAACGAUAUUGGAAGCUUGCUUCCGAUAGGCGUCGACCGGCGCACGGGUGAGUAACGCGUAUCCAACCUGCCCAUCACUUGGGGAUAACCUUGCGAAAGUAAGACUAAUACCCAAUGACGUCCAUAGAAGACAUCUGAAGUGGAUUAAAGAUUUAUCGGUGACGGAUGGGGAUGCGUCUGAUUAGCUUGUUGGCGGGGUAACGGCCCACCAAGGCGACGAUCAGUAGGGGUUCUGAGAGGAAGGUCCCCCACAUUGGAACUGAGACACGGUCCAAACUCCUACGGGAGGCAGCAGUGAGGAAUAUUGGUCAAUGGACGAGAGUCUGAACCAGCCAAGUAGCGUGCAGGAAGACGGCCCUAUGGGUUGUAAACUGCUUUUAUAAGGGAAUAAAGUGAGUCUCGUGAGACUUUUUGCAUGUACCUUAUGAAUAAGGACCGGCUAAUUCCGUGCCAGCAGCCGCGGUAAUACGGAAGGUCCGGGCGUUAUCCGGAUUUAUUGGGUUUAAAAGGGAGCGUAGGCCGGAGAUUAAGCGUGUUGUGAAAUGUAUACGCU
RNAcentral lists this ribosomal RNA (593 nucleotides) under uncultured Bacteroidota bacterium. Its description in RNAcentral is "bacterial SSU rRNA". It matches the Rfam family "Bacterial small subunit ribosomal RNA", at positions 30 to 609 of the family's 1533-position model. The record is from RNAcentral. Lineage: Bacteria; Pseudomonadati; Bacteroidota.